Molecule: transfer RNA, 68 nt
Filed under: Muntiacus reevesi (Reeves' muntjac)
Lineage: Eukaryota; Metazoa; Chordata; Mammalia; Artiodactyla; Cervidae
Also listed under: 6 other names
Rfam family: tRNA
About the family: Transfer RNA (tRNA) molecules are approximately 80 nucleotides in length.
Source: Rfam by way of RNAcentral
CCUGGUGGCUCAGCAGUAAAGAAUCUGCCUGCAAUGCAGGAGACCCGGGUUCGAUUCCUGGGUCAGGA